AGAUGAAGAACGUAGCGAAAUGCGAUAAGUAAUGCGAAUUGCAGAAUUCAGUGAGUCAUCGAAUCUUUGAACGCACAUUGCGCCCUGUGGUAUUCCGCAGGGCAUGCCUGUUCGAGCGUCAUUUCAACCCUCAAGCUCUGCUUGGUGUUGGGCCCUGCCCGCUGCGGCCGGCCCUAAAGACAGUGGCGGUGCCGCCUGGCCCUGAGCGUAGUACAUCUCUCGCUCCAGUGCCCGGCGGUGGCCUGCCAGAACCCCAACUCUCGUGGUUGACCUCGGAUCAGGUAGGGAUACCCGCUGAACUUAAGCAUAUCAAUAAGCGGAGGA
This 324-nucleotide unclassified non-coding RNA is filed under the name soil metagenome. RNAcentral's name for it is "partial contains 5.8S ribosomal RNA, internal transcribed spacer 2, and large subunit ribosomal RNA". The stretch from base 2 to 121 matches the Rfam family "5.8S ribosomal RNA", at positions 35 to 154 of the family's 154-position model. The record is from RNAcentral.